Molecule: small nuclear RNA, 104 nt
Organism: Urocitellus parryii (Arctic ground squirrel)
Lineage: Eukaryota; Metazoa; Chordata; Mammalia; Rodentia; Sciuridae
Source: Ensembl
GGGCUCACUUCAACAGCAUAUAUAUGAAAAGUGGAAUGAUACAGAGAUCAGCAGGGCCCCUGCCCAAGGAUGACAUGAAAAUUCAUGGAAUGUUCCAUUCAAAA